AGUGAACGCUGGCGGUAGGCCUAACACAUGCGAGUCGAACGGCAGCACAGUAAGAGCUUGCUCUUACGGGUGGCGAGUGGCGGACGGGUGAGGAAUACAUCGGAAUCUACUUUUUCGUGGGGGAUAACGUAGGGAAACUUACGCUAAUACCGCAUACGACCUACGGGUGAAAGCAGGGGAUCUUCGGACCUUGCGCGAUUGAAUGAGCCGAUGUCGGAUUAGCUAGUCGGCGGGGUAAAGGCCCACCAAGGCGACGAUCCGUAGCUGGUCUGAGAGGAUGAUCAGCCACACUGGAACUGAGACACGGUCCAGACUCCUACGGUAGGCAGCAGUGGGGAAUAUUGGACAAUGGGCGCAAGCCUGAUCCAGCCAUACCGCGUGGGUGAAGAAGGCCUUCGGGUUGUAAAGCCCUUUUGUUGGGAAAGAAAAGCAGCAGGUUAAUACCCCGCUGUUCUGACGGUACCCAAAGAAUAAGCACCGGCUAACUUCGUG
Molecule: ribosomal RNA, 492 nt
Filed under: uncultured bacterium
Lineage: Bacteria
Description: partial 16S ribosomal RNA
Rfam family: Bacterial small subunit ribosomal RNA
Source: RNAcentral